RNAcentral lists this non-coding RNA (24 nucleotides) under Arabidopsis thaliana (thale cress). The record is from RNAcentral. Lineage: Eukaryota; Viridiplantae; Streptophyta; Magnoliopsida; Brassicales; Brassicaceae.
GAAGUAGACAUCAUCUUCACCAGG